GGGGUUGUGGCUCAGUGGUAGAGUGCUUACCUAGCAUGCAUGAGGUACUGGGUUCAAUCCCUAGCACCACA
RNAcentral lists this transfer RNA (71 nucleotides) under Marmota monax (woodchuck). Its description in RNAcentral is "tRNA.Ala". It matches the Rfam family "tRNA". From Rfam's summary of the family: Transfer RNA (tRNA) molecules are approximately 80 nucleotides in length. Their secondary structure includes four short double-helical elements and three loops (D, anti-codon, and T loops). Further hydrogen bonds mediate the characteristic L-shaped molecular structure. tRNAs have two regions of fundamental functional importance: the anti-codon, which is responsible for specific mRNA codon recognition, and the 3' end, to which the tRNAs corresponding amino acid is attached (by aminoacyl-tRNA synthetases). tRNAs cope with the degeneracy of the genetic code in two manners: having more than one tRNA (with a specific anti-codon) for a particular amino acid; and 'wobble' base-pairing, i.e. permitting non-standard base-pairing at the 3rd anti-codon position. Lineage: Eukaryota; Metazoa; Chordata; Mammalia; Rodentia; Sciuridae. The record is from RNAcentral.